UACGUAGGGUGCAGGCGUUAUUCGGAAUUACUGGGCGUAAAGCGUGCGCAGGCGGUUUUGUAAGCCAGAUGUGAAAUCCCCGGGCUUAACCUGGGAAUGGCAUUUGGGACUGCAAGGCUCGAGUGCGGCAGAGGAGACUGGAAUUCCUGGUGUAGCAGUGAAAUGCGUAGAUAUCAGGAGGAACACCGAUGGCGAAGGCAGGUCUCUGGGCUGACACUGACGCUCAUGCACGAAAGCGUGGGGAGCAAACAGG
Molecule: ribosomal RNA, 253 nt
Filed under: uncultured bacterium
Lineage: Bacteria
Description: partial 16S ribosomal RNA
Rfam family: Bacterial small subunit ribosomal RNA
Source: RNAcentral